Molecule: ribosomal RNA, 381 nt
Filed under: uncultured marine Chaetocerotaceae
Lineage: Eukaryota; Bacillariophyta; Thalassiosirophyceae; Chaetocerotales; Chaetocerotaceae
Description: SSU rRNA
Rfam family: Eukaryotic small subunit ribosomal RNA
Source: RNAcentral
AGCUCCAAUAGCGUAUAUUAAAGUUGCUGCAGUUAAAAAGCUCGUAGUUGCAUUUCCGAGGCAAGGGAUUAGUCCGACCUUUGGUGGGUAUUUAAUCCUCUUGCCUCGUCCUUGAGUGGUGCUUCUUGGUAUUAAGUUAUCGAGGAGAUAGCCGCUCAUCGUUUACUGUGAGAAAAUUAGAGUGUUCAAAGCAGGCUUAUGCCGUUGAAUAUAUUAGCAUGGAAUAAUAAGAGAGGACCUCGGUACUAUUGUGUUGGUUUGAGAACCAAGGUAAUGAUGAAUAGGGACAGUUGGGGGUAUUCGUAUUCAGUUGUCAGAGGUGAAAUUCUUAGAUUUACGGAAGACGAACUACUGCGAAAGCAUUUACCAAGGAUGUUUUCA